GACGAACGCUGGCGGCGUGCUUAACACAUGCCAGUCGAACGGAAAGUCCCUGCUUGUGUGGGGUGCUCGAGUGGCGAACGGGUGAGUAACACGGGAGUAACCUGCUCUGUACUUUGGGAUAACUCCAGGAAACUGGGGCUAAUACCGGAUAGGAGCUCCUGUUGUUUGGUUGGGUUUGGAAAGUUUCGGCGGAUGGGGAUGGAGUGGCGGUGAAUCAUCUUGUCGGUGGGGUUGUGCUUGACCAAGGCUUUGCGGGGUAGCCGGCCUGAGAGGGUGACCGGGCACAGUGGGAUAGAGGUGGGGGCCAGACUGCUACGGGGGGCAGCGGUGGGAAAUAGUGCAAGAUGGGCGGAAGGAGGAAGGAGGAACGUCGGGUGCGGGAUGACGGUCUUCGGGUUGUAAAACGGUUUCGCCUGGGACGAAGAGCGAGUGACGGUAAUGGGUAAAGAAGCAACGGCUAACUACGUG
This 468-nucleotide ribosomal RNA is filed under the name uncultured bacterium. RNAcentral's name for it is "partial 16S ribosomal RNA". It matches the Rfam family "Bacterial small subunit ribosomal RNA", at positions 28 to 507 of the family's 1533-position model. The record is from RNAcentral.